This 501-nucleotide ribosomal RNA is filed under the name uncultured bacterium. RNAcentral's name for it is "bacterial SSU rRNA". It matches the Rfam family "Bacterial small subunit ribosomal RNA", at positions 28 to 521 of the family's 1533-position model. The record is from RNAcentral.
GACGAACGCUGGCGGCGUGGAUUAGGCAUGCAAGUCGAACGGUAUCAUCCUUUCGGGGGUGAGAGAGUGGCGAACUGGUGAGUAACACGUAGGUUAUCUACCCUCAAGACGGGGGACAACCCAGGGAAACUUGGGCUAAUACCGGAUGUGAGCAACUUUUAGUUGUUUGAAAGGUGGCGUAAGCUGUCGCUUGGGGAUGAGCCUGCGUCCUAUUAGUUAGUUGGUGAGGUAACGGCUCACCUAGGCAAUGAUAGGUAGGCGGCCUUAACGGGUGGUCGCCCACACUGGGAUUGAGAUACGGCCCAGACUCCUACGGGAGGCAGCAGUCGAGAAUAGUCUACAAUGGUCGGAAGACUGAUAGUGCGACGCCGCGUGAACGAUGAAUCCCUUCGGGGUGUAAAGUUCUUUUAUAUGUGAGCAGUGCUUCUAUAUUAACAGUAUGGGGAAGAGAUAUUAGCAUAUGAAUAAGCAACGGCUAACUCCGUGCCAGCCAGCCCGGGU